GAGAUAGCUGGUUCUCUCCGAAAUAGCUUUAGGGCUAGCCUCGAGGUAAAGAGUCAUGGAGGUAGAGCACUGUUUGGACUAGGGGCCCUUCUCGGGUUACCGAAUUCAGAUAAACUCCGAAUGCCAUGUACUUAUACUCGGGAGUCAGACUGCGAGUGAUAAGAUCCGUAGUCGAAAGGGAAACAGCCCAGACCACCAGUUAAGGUCCCCAAAUAUAUGUUAAGUGGAAAAGGAUGUGGGGUUGCUUAGACAACCAGGAUGUUGGCUUAGAAGCAGCCACCAUUGAAAGAGUGCGUAAUAGCUCACUGGUCGAGUGACCCCGCGCCGAAAAUGUACCGGGGCUAAACAUAUUACCGAAACUGUGGAUGAACCUCUUUAGAGGUUCGUGGUAGGAGAGCGUUCUAAGGGCGGUGAAGUCAGACCGGAAGGACUGGUGGAGCGCUUAGAAGUGAGAAUGCCGGUAUGAGUAGCGAAAGAAGGGUGAGAAUCCCUUCCACCGAAUAUCUAAGGUUUCCUGAGGAAGGCUCGUCCGCUCAGGGUUAGUCGGGACCUAAGCCGAGGCCGAUAGGCGUAGGCGAUGGACAACAGGUAGAGAUUCCUGUACCAGUGCUAAUUGUUUAACCGAUGGGGUGACACAGAAGGAUAGGGAAUCGCACGAAUGGAAAUGUGCGUCCAAGCAGUGAGUGUGAGAAGUAGGCAAAUCCGCUUCUCGCGAAGCAUGAGCUGUGAUGGGGAAGGAAAUUAAGUACGGAAGUUCCUGAUUUCACGCUGUCAAGAAAAGCCUCUAGGAAGAGUAGUACUGCCCGUACCGCAAACCGACACAGGUAGAUGAGGAGAGAAUCCUAAGGUGAGCGAGAGAACUCUCGUUAAGGAACUCGGCAAAAUGACCCCGUAACUUCGGGAGAAGGGGUGCUCUAUUAGGGUGCAAGCCCGAGAGAGCCGCAGUGAAUAGGCCCAGGCGACUGUUUAGCAAAAACACAGGUCUCUGCAAAACCGUAAGGUGACGUAUAGGGGCUGACGCCUGCCCGGUGCUGGAAGGUUAAGAGGAGUGCUUAGCUUCGGCGAAGGUACGAAUUGAAGCCCCAGUAAACGGCGGCCGUAACUAUAACGGUCCUAAGGUAGCGAAAUUCCUUGUCGGGUAAGUUCCGACCCGCACGAAAGGCGCAACGAUCUGGGCACUGUCUCAACGAGAGACUCGGUGAAAUUAUAGUACCUGUGAAGAUGCAGGUUACCCGCGACAGGACGGAAAGACCCCGUGGAGCUUUACUGCAACCUGAUAUGGAAUGUUUGUACCGCUUGUACAGGAUAGGUAGGAGCCGAAGAGACGUGUGCGCUAGCAUACGAGGAGGCAAUGGUGGGAUACUACCCUGGCUGUAUGACCAUUCUAACCCGCCACGCUUAGCGCGUGGGGAGACAGUGUCAGGUGGGCAGUUUGACUGGGGCGGUCGCCUCCUAAAGAGUAACGGAGGCGCCCAAAGGUUCCCUCAGAAUGGAUGGAAAUCAUUCGCAGAGUGUAAAGGCACAAGGGAGCUUGACUGCGAGACUGACAAGUCGAGCAGGGACGAAAGUCGGGCUUAGUGAUCCGGUGGUUCCGCAUGGAAGGGCCAUCGCUCAACGGAUAAAAGCUACCCCGGGGAUAACAGGCUUAUCUCCCCCAAGAGUCCACAUCGACGGGGAGGUUUGGCACCUCGAUGUCGGCUCGUCGCAUCCUGGGGCUGUAGUCGGUCCCAAGGGUUGGGCUGUUCGCCCAUUAAAGCGGCACGCGAGCUGGGUUCAGAACGUCGUGAGACAGUUCGGUCCCUAUCCGUCGCGGGCGCAGGAAAUUUGAGAGGAGCUGUCCUUAGUACGAGAGGACCGGGAUGGACACACCGCUGGUGUACCAGUUGUUCCGCCAGGAGCAUCGCUGGGUAGCUAUGUGUGGCAGGGAUAAACGCUGAAAGCAUCUAAGCGUGAAGCCCCCCUCAAGAUGAGAUUUCCCAUUUCUUCGGAAAGUAAGAUCCCUGAAAGAUGAUCAGGUAGAUAGGUUUGGAGUGGAAGUGUAGCGAUACAUGGAGCGGACAAAUACUAAUCGAUCGAGGACUUAACCAAAA
RNAcentral lists this ribosomal RNA (2090 nucleotides) under Listeria monocytogenes. RNAcentral describes it as "partial 23S ribosomal RNA". It matches the Rfam family "Bacterial large subunit ribosomal RNA", at positions 842 to 2925 of the family's 2925-position model. Lineage: Bacteria; Bacillati; Bacillota; Bacilli; Caryophanales; Listeriaceae. The record is from RNAcentral.